This 254-nucleotide ribosomal RNA is filed under the name uncultured bacterium. Its description in RNAcentral is "partial 16S ribosomal RNA". It matches the Rfam family "Bacterial small subunit ribosomal RNA", at positions 524 to 776 of the family's 1533-position model. The record is from RNAcentral.
UACAGAGACUGCAAGCGUUAUUCGGAUUCACUGGGCGUAAAGGGCGCGUAGGCGGCCACCGCAAGUCGACUGUGAAAUCUCCGGGCUUAACCCGGAAAGGUCAGCCGAUACUGCGGGGCUAGAGUGCAGAAGGGGCAACUGGAAUUCUCGGUGUAGCGGUGAAAUGCGUAGAUAUCGAGAGGAACACCUGCGGCGAAGGCGGGUUGCUGGGCUGACACUGACGCUGAGGCGCGAAAGCUAGGGGAGCGAACGGG